UUAUGAUGCGCCUUCUCACUGGUACUGACACCGUAUCAUCAGGAAAAGUUGGAAAAAGCUCCACUGGUUUUGAGUUCAAACCGGAGGUCAUCAGGGCCUUUGGAUCGAUCGUGAUUGCUGAGGGCUGCGAUUCUAGCCGCGCCAUUUCUUGGGUUCACGCUUGGACCGUCACGGAUGGGAUAAUUACCCAGGUGAGAGAGUACUUCAAUACUUCUCUUACUGUUACUCGUCUUGGAAACCAAGAUCAAUCAGAGCCUUCUGAUUAUUCAUCUCCGUCUUCAUCGUCAUCUUCAUCGGCCGAGAUAACUCCCGU
RNAcentral lists this unclassified non-coding RNA (313 nucleotides) under Hevea brasiliensis (rubber tree). The record is from RNAcentral. Lineage: Eukaryota; Viridiplantae; Streptophyta; Magnoliopsida; Malpighiales; Euphorbiaceae.